This is a long non-coding RNA of Rhincodon typus (whale shark), 2800 nucleotides long. RefSeq lists it as uncharacterized. The record is from RefSeq and is a predicted model, not a curated record. Lineage: Eukaryota; Metazoa; Chordata; Chondrichthyes; Orectolobiformes; Rhincodontidae. The transcript has 6 exons.
UGGAGUUACUAUGCUUAACCAACACGGGGCAGGGGUUUGGGCUCAGCGUCCUAGCUCCAGGGCAAUGCAAGUGCAGCCACAAGGGCACUCUAGAACCAGGGUUGGGUGGGCCCAGAUCCCAAAUCCAAGCCCGGAAUUACAGCCGCCAUUUCCGGGCACAAGGGAAUGCAUCCAUUGGGGCAGCUGUCAAGACUCUGGUCAUUCUCCAUGCCUUCUUUCCGGCCAGAUACCUAUCUCUCUCCCUGUCAGAGGCUGCCGUAACGGUGACCUCUGCCUCGGGCCCUUCUUGAGAGACUCCAUGUGUCACCUUUGGGGCACAAGGAGCGGCAGUGCCACCAGUGAGCCACUGGUGAAUCUUUGGCACACUUUGAGGUGGGACAAUUCCUCCUCUCAUGCCCCAGCUCUUUGAAUAAGUGACAUACAUCUGUUGUCCAGGAGCAAUGGUAGGCCAACCCCUCGUAGAGCCCGGGAAAUACUCACUGAGUCACCUCUACCCAGUCCAUGCAAACAAUCACCUGAUGCCUGAAGGAGUAGACAUGUCCACGUCAGUUUACCCUCCUUAAAACCGAGUGAGAUGUGUGCAAUUCCGGCCCUCACCUCUCCCAGCAGUUGUAAAUGAGGGAGGAGAAGCUGAUGGAAACAGCGAAUGGGAAGUGGGAGAUCACAGUUCUCUGCACCAUGACCUCCAAGCAUCUCCAGGCUCCUGUCAAAGGAAAUGAUGACCAAUGAUUGGCCCCAACAGCACCUCACACCCAGCGCUCUUAUUUUGAUAAUCUUCAUGAGGUGAUGGAUGAGACCAUACCUCGUCUUGUCUGUUGAGGAUUGACUGCCUGUACCACGUCUAGCAGGAUCCCCAAGCCUCUGCACCUGACAUGGGCCUGGUUCCACUAAAGCAGGGUGGAUCCUCUUCCUUCAUGGUAAUAGCUGAAUGGUGGUAUCUGCCAGGCCAUGAAUUCGCAAAUUGUGUUUGGAACAGGAUUCUGCUGCUGUUGAUUGUCCACAGCAUCUCAUGAACGCCCAGUCUUCAGUGGCUCGAUCUGUUCAGACUCUGCUACAUUAAGCACGGUGAUCGCUUCAUACAAAUUGAUAUAAGAUAUUUUCAAAAUGAUGGUGGAAUUUCUUCUCCACAAGGAUUGUGUGAGUGGUCACUAAGCAGUCACCGAGCCUCCCCUAGUACCACAGUUGAAAUCGAUAGUACCACACAGAAAUCCAUCAUCAACUUGUCUGACCAAGCCCUUCAACUGGAUGAAAUUGGUGUUCUAGCCGAGGGCUUAAUUUCAGCCCCACUACCAAAGUGGUGCCCAUUGGUCAAGAGGCAGACACCGAGGAAUGCAUCAGUCAAAUGAGGCUCCGGAAAUUCUUCCACAAACCCCAAGAUGUCAGCAGCGAGCCCAAUGAGACAACCAAUGAACCGGAGCAGUCGACAGACAGAGUGCAGCGACAAAAGAAGAAGGAAUCGAAUUGGACCCUUCCAGAAGAUUACGGCCCUAGGCUGAACAUUAAUGCUGGAGCUGUCAGGAGAUGCGUUAAUGCCAGAUUCAUCAGCCACACUCACACAGUAGCACAGAACAUCACCCAAGCACUAUGCAAUGCCGUCCAUGCUCUCAAGACAUUCCACUGAUAACAGUUGGAUGGACUUUUGAUCUUUCUGCCUUUAAACUUUGUGUCUGUGUGCCCUGUUCUAUCCAUGCACCUGAUUUCAAAUAAACCAGUUGGAUGAUCACCUGGUGUCAUGUGAAUUCUGAUCCAGCGAUGAUGUUUUUGACAAAUGCAUCAGCGACAGACAGAUUGGUGAGAAUGACUUCGUGUGUGAUUUUUCCUCAUUGAUGGUUCCCUCAUCACCUGCUCAGUCUAGCUGAAAUAUCUGUUACUGCUGCGGCACUGAUUCAUCAGCUGAGGGAGGACGGAUCGUGGUAAUCAAAAGGAGGUUUCCUUAUCUAUGUUUAACUUGCAGCCAUUCGAAUUCAUGUGGUCUGGAGUCACUGUUGAGGACUCCCACGGCAAAUCCCUCCCAACUGUGUCGCUACUUCUGCUGGGUCUGUCUUGCCAGUGGGACAGGAGAUAUCCAGGGUUGGUAGUGAUGGUGCCUGACACCUUGUAAGGCUUUGUAGAGAUUGACACAACUGAGUUGAUCUUCAGAGCCGUUUCAGUGGGCACUUAAGAGUCAACCACAUUGCUAUGGAUCCAGAGUUACACGUAGGUCAGACCAGGUGCCUGUUAAUAACAAAAGGUUUACUGUGUUACAAUAAUCGUCGAGGACUUCAAUAUGCAGGUGGACUGGGAAAAUCAGGUUACUAAUGUUAUUACCAGAAGCAACUGAGAAACAAAUGGAUAAUACUAAUAGGGACAGAUCUGGAACCAAUAAGUCUGUCUGUGGACUAAUGGGAGUACCAGCGUUAUCCAGAUAGAGGAAUUCAUUGGUCAAAUGUUGACAAAAUUGCGUUUGAAGGUCUUUGUUCCGUAGAACAAUUGUAUACCGUUGUUAAUUCACCAUAAUUGGCCUAUGACAAAAUACUUGCCAAGUCUGUAACACUGCCUUAAAUAAGGAUGAUUAUUUUUGGAAGACCUGUCAUUAUGGUGAGAGAUGCAGAUAAAAUCAGUCUGGAUUAGAGUCAGUGACUGGGCCAGCUGCUUUGUUACUUAUUUUCCAGAAUAAAGAGGUGACUGAGAUACAGUGCUCGUAAUUUCUGAAACUGAUGUUAUGCUUCCAGAAGCUUUGAAGCAGAUGCCAAUGUUGAUUUAGUUUUUUCCCGUGUCUCCAUGUAUUUUUAACUUGAUAAAAUAAAUUUAUGUUCAUUCU